GGAAACGGCUGCUAAUACCGGAUGUGCCGAAAGGUGAAAGAUUAAUUGCCUAGAGAUGAGCUCGCGUCUGAUUAGCUAGUUGGUGUUGUAAGGGACUACCAAGGCGACGAUCAGUAGCUGGUCUGAGAGGACGAUCAGCCACACUGGGACUGAGACACGGCCCAGACUCCUACGGGAGGCAGCAGUGGGGAAUUUUCCGCAAUGGGCGAAAGCCUGACGGAGCAAUACCGCGUGAGGGAGGAAGGCUCUUGGGUUGUAAACCUCUUUUCUCAAGGAAGAAUACAAUGACGGUACUUGAGGAAUAAGCAUCGGCUAACUCCGUGCCAGCAGCCGCGGUAAUACGGAGGAUGCAAGCGUUAUCCGGAAUGAUUGGGCGUAAAGCGUCCGCAGGUGGCAAUGAAAGUCUGCUGUUAAAGAGUGAGGCUCAACCUCAUAAAAGCGGUGGAAACUACAUAGCUAGAGUACGUUCGGGGCAGAGGGAAUUCCUGGUGUACGGUGAAAUGCGUAUAGAUCAGGAAGAACACCGGUGGCGAAAGCGCUCUGCUAGGCCUGUACUGACACUGAGGGACGAAAGCUAGGGAACGAAUGGGAUUA
RNAcentral lists this ribosomal RNA (594 nucleotides) under Leptolyngbya boryana. Its description in RNAcentral is "bacterial SSU rRNA". It matches the Rfam family "Bacterial small subunit ribosomal RNA", at positions 152 to 780 of the family's 1533-position model. Lineage: Bacteria; Bacillati; Cyanobacteriota; Cyanophyceae; Leptolyngbyales; Leptolyngbyaceae. The record is from RNAcentral.